CUAAUUCAAAUAAAAAAUGUGAAACAAGGAAUACGAGAACUAGGCAGAAAUACCAUUUAGGGACUUGGGUUGAGACCAGGCAUCAUUUGGGGUGCCACACAGUUGGCAAGGGUCAGAGGUUCCCUGUGAACACCAGUGAUCAGGGACACUCAAAAAGUAAGUUGACAUGAACUUUCUGAAUCUUUUCUUAUAUUCCCUGGGAGAAAUUACAGUUGGCAACAAAUUCUUAGGAACAACCAAUGAAGACUUAACCCAUGUCUCCAGUUGUUUGUCCCAAGUAUACUGCCUGAGAUAAUCAAUGAUCCCACAUACAAGCUCCCGCCGCUCCGUAUCCACCCCAACAAGUAAAGAAUAAUCCAUUACAUUGUUUGACUGCAAAAGAGCACAACUCGGUCAACACCUCAUUCCAAAUUUGAGGAAUAUAACAUACAAAGGAAAUAUAUAGAUGAUAUAUGGGGUUGAGGGAGGAUUUGGGAUGUUGGGGUUGAUGGGGAGUACUGAAUACCAUAAGGGCAAAUUUUAUUCAAGAAAAGAAAGAAUGCAUCUAGUCCGAGCAAGGAAAAGUCCAGUAGAAAGAAAUUAAAGCUCACGUUGAGGAAAGUUGUGUCAUUCCAUACAGCCCGUUGCAAGAGACGCUUGGCUUGAUUACUAACAUAUAAUGGAGAGGAAUUCAUGUCAUUGACAAAGUUCUGAUCCAAAAGAACAUCUCCAGAACCCUCAGCAGCAGAAUUGAAUCGAGCAUGCAAGGCCCCUUUAAGAUCAUACUGGCGAGUAAUAUUUCUACCAAAGGUAAGAUUCUCCAUCACCAUAAGAUCAUGUCUCGUCUCUUUCCCUGUUUUAGGCUGUCUUACUAUUACCUGCAAAAUGUUUAAAUGUUCAAAAAAAAAGAGCAAAUAAUAAAGCAAUCGCAUAUUUUUUAAAAUGAAAAUGAGAGCAAACCUGAUAAAUCCCAAGAACUUUAGCAAGGCAAGUUUGGCUUCCCGACUCAAAUGAUUGGUUCAUGUACUUGAAAUAAUGUAAAGCAAACUUCUGAAAUGAUUCAUAUUCUGUGUUCUUGAUUUCUUUUAUAAUAAACCUAUCAUCAAGUGUUUUAGCAAAAAAGGACUUGCUCUUCCCUCCUUUGGCAUCCCAAUUUCUGCAUCGGCUAAGGGAAGCAAUAUAAUCAAGCUCUGAAGGGCAGCACCGCUCUCGAAGAUCACGGAACUGGUUAGCAUAUAAACAAAAUACCGAGUAUUUACCCUUCCCAAGUGAUUUUGAAACCCCUAGAGAAACCUCUAUGUUAUGCGCAUCAGGAGGAACUAGAGAAUCCAACAAGCUUAACCCAUCAAAACUGGAGAAGCGCGACAUUGGAAAACACUUUUCAACAUUUUAGCUUGGUUAAAAUCAAAAAUUUAAAAUUAAACGUUUGGUUCGAAAAGUUGUUUGUUUACUAUUUUUUUUUUAAAUUAAGGUUUGAGUUGAAAAGUGUUUUUAACUUCAAGGGUAAAUAACGGGUCAAAUAAUUUUUUUGAAAUAAAUUAUUUCUUUUAUGUUAAAAUAUGUCAUAAAUUCUCGCACUUUUCAUAAAUUUAGAACUAAUCUUUGCGCUUUUGAUUUUAAGAAUUUAGUCCUUUUAUUUUUUACAUUUUAAAUUUAGAUCCAAUUGUUGUAUAUUGUUAAAAUUAUGUUUAUUAUAACGCCAUUUUUUAAUUAAACGACUAUCAAUUGUGUAAUGCUCAAUUUUUGCCCGGGCCCGUAUAUAAAUAAAUAAAACUAAAUACCAAAUUCAAUUAAAACCAAAUUUUAAAAGUCCGAAUUACAUCAGCCCAAAUGCUAAACCCUAGCCCAAAUUCAGUGUGGCCCAAAACGAAGUUUUCAGAAGCAGAAACAACCAUCGGGCCCUCACUGUGCGCGUGUACCAGCGAUUGUCACUCUCCACGCACGUCGUGCAUGUCUCCUCCGGUGCCCUUGAAACAAACCACGAACAGCAAGUGAGAGAGAAUAAUAGGGAUAUAUGGCAAAAAUUAAAGGGGGAUUGUUUUUUCGGGAAUAUUGGGGUAUAAAAACCGAUUCAUAGGAAAAAAUUUUGGUACGGAUAUUGAAUCAAAAAAGGAGAGAAAGAAAUCAGUGUAAAACAAAAUAUAAGAAAAUAAAAAAUAUCAAUUGAUUGAAGGUGAUUUUCUUCAACAUUUUUCUUCCUUUGCAUUUUUCUUAUUGAAUACUUAUCCGUGUAUACAAGUUUCUGUUAAAAAAAGAGAGAAAAACCAUACCUUUGCGGGUGCUAUCAAAAUCCUUGUUUACUCCAUCUGAAUCGAACGAAAGUGAGGGGUUUUGAGGGGGGAAGUAACGGAGUUGGGGGUUUUGAAGUUGCGGCGGCAAAAAGGAGGGGCUUAGGGUGGGUUUGGAUGGGCGAUUGGGUGCGGUGCGGCGCGUUUAGCUUACUUUUUGUCUCACGCUACAAUAUCGCUAUAGUAUUUAAUCUCACCGCCACCGCUGUUUUUACACUAACCGCAGGUAAACGCACCGUCCAUCCAAACUUACCUUUAGUGUUUUCUGAAAUCUGUUAGGGUGAUUAGGGCUGAUGGUUUUAGGGUUUUGUUUUGGGCAAGCCUGUGUUAAUAGCUUUGAAACAGCGCCGUUUAAAGUGUACCCGAUUACCCGACCCGACGCAGCCAGGAUCCGCGUGUUUUCUGCUUUAAGGGGAUAUUUUCUCAAUCGGUCCCUCCGCUUUUGUGUCGUUUUCAAUGCUUUUUUUACAUAUUUUCAAUUUUGGCCACAUAAUUUUUCUUCUGUUUUAAUUUGGUCCCUCACGCUUCACUGGAACGACGUCGUUUGAUUAACGAGGGAAUAUUUCCCUUUUUGGUCCUCUUUAUUUCACGCGCAUUAUGUUUUGGUCCUUUUUGUGUUUUCCAUUUUUGAAUUCGGCCCCUAAACUCCGUUUCUUUAAAAUUUAAUCCUUAAUAUGUCAUUUUAGGUUUUUUUUAGUAUUUUAAUAUUAUUAAUACUGUCAUAUUGCAUCAUUAUUAUUGUAUUAUUAUUUAUUAUUAUUAUAGUAGUUAUUAUUAUUAUUACUAUUCUUAUUGCUAUUAAUGAUAUUAUUAUUAUUAUUUAUAUAUAUUAAUUUACUUAACUCUUUAUAUACAUUAUUUUAUUCCAUUAUGUACUAGUAUUUUAAAAUUUUUUUUAUAUUAUUGUCAUAUAUUAUUAUUUAAUCUUAUAAUGUAUAAUUUUAUAUUUUCAUAAUUAAUCCCAUGUUUUUAGUGGUUUUAUUUCAUGAUAUAUUCUAGAAAAAUUGGUUUAUAUAUGCUUCUAUGUUUCAAAGUUUUAUAAUGUUUUUUACACAAUGCCAUUAUAUAUAUAUAUACAUAAUUUAUAUCAAACUAUUUUCAUACUUGUAAGCUUACAUAGUAUUAUAUAUAUAUAUAUAUAUAUAUAUAUAUUAUAAUUUAUAUCGAGUUCCCACUCCAAAUGUAUUAUGUUCUUUUUAAAAAAAAAAAGUAAUAUAUGUACAUUAUGUAGUGAAUCUUAAUUUUCUUCUUAUAACAUUUAUUAAAAAAUGUAUUUAGAUACUAUUAUUUCAUGAAGUGUUUAUUUUUUACUUUAUUUCUGAUUUAUUGCAAACUUACAUAUAUGCAUACAUUGUUGUUUCAACAUAUAAUUUAUUAAUUAGGUUUCUCCUCUUGCUUUUUAGUGGAUCUUUAAAAAUUAAUUAAUAAUUUAUUUAAUUUUUGAAUGUGGUAUGACGUGAGAUGAUUGCUAUUAUUCAUAUUGUAUUGCUUGUUUAUAUUUAUAGAUUAUUUGUCACUCAUUAGUGUAUGUUUUAUUUGCGAUCGCUCCAUGUUGUAUAUUAUCAUUUAUCGCAUUUUAUUCGCUUAAAAGGCUAUGUUCGAUAUCAUUCAAGCAUCAAAGUCAUUUUAUCCAAAAGUUUUCAAAAAACGCCAUACUCGGUACUUGUGAUCUUCGAGGGGAUUGAGCCCUAACGUAUUAGGUUUCAAUUUUCCUCGUCGAAUCCAAAUAAUCAAGAAUAUUCUUUAAUCAGAAUGCAAAAAUAAAAGCUCAUCCUUGGGAAUUCUAUACGUUGUGUCCUAACGUAUUGGAUAUGACAUAUUGUUUUCUCGAGAUGAGGAUUUUUCUAAAAUAAUAAAGGCAAUAUUAAAUGUUUGGAAUUUUGAGAAAUUGUGCCCUAACAUAUUGGGCUUCGAUUUUUCAUCUGACUUAAACAAUUGAAUAUUUUUUUAAACUUCACUACAUGAGUUUUAAAAAUCAAAAGACGAGCUCAUUUUCGAGGAUGCGAAGCUCAUUGGAUGUGAUGUUUGAUCUCCCGAAACAAGAGGGUCUUAGCAUGCAUUUUGAUUUAGAUUUAUAUACGUUUUUUAAAGGAUCCUAUUUUAAAUCUUUUCGAGUUUUCGAUAUUCGACAUUAAGACAUUAAUCAAUCAAUUCGAUACCAAUUUUGAGCGUCACGAGGAUGCUAACUCUUUCUCGUGCGUAACUGACUCCCGAACCCGCUUUUCUCUGAAACUCGUAGACCAAAAUCUUUUUAAGGUGAUCCGAUCACACUGCAAUAAAAGAUCAGUGGCGACUCCCAUACUCGUUUUUAUUUUCAAAAUCCAAGUCAAUUUCGUUUUACAAAAAAAUGGUUUCGACAAAUUGAGUAUUUUUUUAUUUAAACAAAAGUAACAACUGAACUUGAAUUUUAAAAUCUGAAAAAAUAUAAGGACUAAAUUUCUUUAAAUAAAAAUACAGAAACUAAAUUAUAAAUCUAGGAAAAGUAAAAUGAUGACAUUUUUUAACCUGGCUUUCAUUUAUAUAUAAGGAAUUUCACCUUUAUUACAAAACAUAUGUUCCUAUAUUUCACAAAUUCAGUUUCCUUUUUAUUUUUCUAGAUAUAUACAACCUCAAAUCACAGUUUCAGUUGACCGUAAAUGGGCCAAUUAUAAAUCAGUCUUUCUGUGCUUUUACGUCUUUUUAAGGACCGUCGCUUUUUAAAUUUACGCUUCCAGUCCCUCAUGUUUUUCAAAAUUAGGUUCUUCCGUAUUUCACUUUUCAACCCAUUUAUUUGAAAGCAGAAAAUGCAUUAAUGUAUGUAAUUGUAGUUCCAACGUUAAUUUAUCAAUUAAGAAAAGGAAAAGGUUGCAUUGUGUUGAUUUUGGUUGAAAUUGGUAAAGAAAUUAAGAUUUCUUAAGGUUGCAAGUAAAUCCGUUGAUUCCUGUACAAUUGUAUUAUAAAUAUAUUUACACUUCCAGUCCCUUAUUUCUUUUUCUUUUGCAUGCUUCUAUCUACCAUGCUCACUAUUAUUCAUUUCUCCAUAAUUCUUAAACAAUUUACACCUAAAAAAGUAAGGAUACUAUUUUUCAAACGGGCAACACAUUUAAUUUUUUAAAAAUAAACUUCAAUUUAUCCUAGUAUUAUUUAUUUAAAUAUUUAUAUGAAUUAUAGUACAUAUUUUGAUCACAUACAUCACACGAAUAUGCACGCUAGUACAUUUUAAGAAAGUUUUUGUCGCUCUACAAAUUUCACUAGUAAUUGACUUACAAUAAUGCGAUAUAUAUGUUUUGAAGAAUAAUGUGAUAGUUAAAACUAGUUAAUUGUGAAUUACUAAUAAAAGUUUGGUGCUUAAUAGGUUUAAAUAAAAUAUUAUAGGUCCAAUUUUGUGAAUAAAACCGAUAAUCUAUCAUGAUUUCAAUAAUCAAUUCAUAUAUAAUUUAGACGUUCUAAAAUAAAAUUAAGAAUAUAUAACUUUUCACAACAGUGAUUUAAAUAUGAAAAGAUAGUCACAACUUAAAUUCUUAAUAAAUAUUUAUUCUAAAAUUAUGAAAUUAAAAUUUUAUUACUGUUACGUGCUAUUCAGUUGCACGUGUCAAUCCACUUUAUUCAAUGCUUGUAUUAGGUCUAGGUUCCAGGACAACGAGGCAUGGUAGAUGGCGGUGGGCGCAUGCUGGUUUCGGUGGUGGUUCCAUUCCUCACAAUCAAAACAGUGCUCAUUCCCCAGCUACUAUGCCUUUCGAAAUGGCAAUGCAUAUACCACACCCCUGAAAACGUUAUAUUAUAUAUAAAUAUCAAUUACUUCGGUAGUUAGAAAGAUGGACGACAAUGAGCUCUGUUUUUUCUAAUUGAAAAACUUACCGGGGUUGUUUGCAAAAAACCUGAGGGCAACCCAUCCUGCAGCAGGACUGUGGACAGUGUUAAUAAAUGGCGGAUCAACCAGGUUAUAUGUGCUUGGGUCCGUCUCAUUGUUGAAAUUUCCGGUGCCAAUUCCCACCCAAUAGAAGCUGAAACCGUGCAAAUGAAUUGGGUGACUUCCACCAGCCCCCAACCGGGUCGUUUGCAGCACCAUCUCCACUGCAUCCCCAUAAUUUACCAUAAUAGCCCUCGUCCCUUCCCCAGCUUCAGUAUUGAAAUCAGUCAAGUUCCCAGUGAAAUCAUAAAAUAUUGGUGGAUUAAACGGAAAAUCUUGGGUGAAAACGCCAGUGAUGUUCCUGCAAUGUUACCAAAACUUUAAGAAUUAGCUACAGUAAUCAAAUUAUUUUUUCUUUUCUUUUCUAGCGGUACUAGGAUUGCUAUAUAUAUACACACACACACACCCGUAGUAUGCUUGGAGAAUGUCAAUACGUGGGGAAACAAAGCUGACAUUGUUCAGACUUGCAGCGAAUCUGCUAUCUGAAACACAUUCUGAUGUGUUGCAUGGCAAGGUGUUUGAGGCGAUUGUAAUGUACACUCGUCUGUUGAUAUCUGUAUCCGCCGGUACAUUUAUGGUCGGGUUUUGGGAGACAUUGGUGUACCGAAUUUGGCUGAUGAAGUUAAGCGUAGCAUCUGUAUCGUUCAUUGCGGGCAGCGAUAUCAAGGAAGCAUUCAGUCCACCCUCGCUGUUUCUAUAUUGAAAAAUGCCAGUAGUGAUGUUGUCAACAGGUGCAGCAGAGGAAUCAGAGAAAGGCCUAAUAGCCAUGUAAUAUUGGCCGACGUUUUGAUCGGCAAUGACCAAAACAUCCAUGGUUUGGCCAGGGCUUAUCAUUAUAUAGUCGGUGGUGAACAUUCGAACGUAGGAGGCAUCUUGUGCGACGACAAUGAGGGUGUGGUUUGUGAUGGUGAAGAAUAGCUCUUCGUUCAUUGCAGCAUUGAUUAUGCGGAGAAGGUAUAUAUUCUCAGAAUCAACUUCCAUGAGGAAUUUUGUAUCCGCAACACCCAAUUAUAGACUCUUAGUGUAAGUAAGGGAUUCCUAGGGAUAGAAACUCGAUUCCGGUUUCUGUAAUGUUGAGAACGUACCAUUGGGGCAUCCAUAUGUGUCUCCUAAAUGUCCAUUGAUAGCGUAAGCAUCUGCUUCGCGAGGACCAACACCAGCUGCGAGUGCAUCAUCGAUAAUUUGCUUGUAAUCCCCAUUGUACCACGAUUCUGUAUAUACAGACAAGAAUCAAACUAAGAUUCAUAUCAUUAUACACAAGUAACACAACCGAAAAAUCAAAAGACAUACUUACGAAGUAUGAUUGUUUGAUCGGCGUCUGGAGUGGGGAAAGGAUAAGUUUCGUUCUCAGCUGGUAAAAUGAUGAAAGCUCCAUGGACAGAACCGCGAGUCCAGUCACUGUGUGCAUUCCACCACAGGGUUCCUAUUUCAUCCGAUAAUAUGAUUUCAUGGGUGAAGUUGGUCCCUGGUUGAAUCGGGCACUGCGUUAUGAACUCAGGACCGUCGGACCAUGGAUUCCUUGGUUGUUUCACGCCGUGCCUGCAACAUGUUUAAUUUAUCUUAAUCACUAAUGAAUUCAAUUCUUAGGGAAAUUAUCAUUGGAAGAAUGAAAGAAAGGUUAUAGUUACCAGUGAAUGGUGAAGCCAUAGUUUCCUUGAUUGUAGACAUUAACGAAGACUGUGUCACCUUUGUGAACCCGAAUCUCAGGCCCCGGGUAACUGUCGUUUACGACCAGCAAUGUCGUUGUGUUGCACUGUUUCGUAAAGUUUGACUCUCGCACCUGCAAUAAAAAAAUUAUGGUUUCACUUAUUAUAUAUUAAUCAACAAAAACUAUAUAAGAAAAAGGUAAUCAUUUCGCUGUCCAAGCAACCGUGAUGAUUUUGUUGUCUUCACUCUCAUACGCUUAGCCAUCAUGUUUUUAGGAGUCAUAUUUUAAUAAGAAGUCUAAGAUUAAUAGACGAAAUCACUGUGACAUGUAAGAAUAUAUAAGAAAAGGGAACUCACAAAGAACUCAUAGUGAUGUACAUCAGCACUGCAAAGCAGCAAAGUGCUUAGAAAUAGAACCCCUACAAACCAUGAGGCCAUAUCUCGCUGUAAACCCUUUUUUUUUUCUCUCUCUCUCUCUCUACCGUGUUCUUAGUUCUCCCCUGAAUUUUAUCAUCUUUGGGCCAUAAAAUUCAACCAUUUAUAGGAAAGGAAGCUCCUGCUCCUUUGGUUUCUUUCUUUGCAACUACAAUUUGUACACAUUGGCAUUGGGAAAAAACAAACGUUCCAGAAUAUAUAUUAAAAAAAUGGAAAAUGGAAAUUAUGUAUUACGUGUAUACAUUGACUCGAGGAAAAUAAAAUACCCUUGGGGGUUACCAAUAACAUCAAGCCACCUGUCCACUACAUUUUUUAAAACGGUUUUUCCAUUUAUUUCAAUUUUUUAUAUCUUAUGUUAAACAUUAUUUUAUAUUUUAAUUUUGCUUUUUACAGAAAUCCACUGCCAUGUAAUUCAAAAUUCAUAUUUAAUCCGAUUAUUUUAUUAAUUUUUAUUUUAAAAAUUUGUAUUUAAAUUAAGAUAUGGGUGUUUGCUAACUUGCUAAUAGUUUUGGUAUUUAUUUUUGAACCACUUAGGAAAAAAAUUUAAACAUAUUUUUUAUUAUUUAAUUAUAAAUGAUAUUUUUUUAAUACUAAUAUAUCAUGUUAUGUGUUGCAUGAAAUUUUAUGUGUUUAUUUUAAUUUAUUAAAUAAUAUAUUUUUAUAAUAUCAAAAAAUAAUUUUUAUUUAAAUGAGGAUUUGUUUUAAUUUUUUAAAAUAAUUUACAAAAUAAAAUACCAUUUUAAAAGUAAUAAAAAUAAAAAAUGAAAACAACUUAUAGUAAAAUAGUAAGUAAUUAAAUAAAAUAAUUUAAAUCAAGCAUAAAAUCAGUAUUGAACUAAAAAUUAAUUAAACAUUGAAUUAAUAGAUACAUCUAUUAAAAUAAUAAAUAUAUUUGAAACUAUAUAAGAAAGUACAUGAUAAUAAUAAAUUGAAAAAAUAAAAAGAAAAUAGUCACGCAUCACUUAUAUUAAAAGUUCAUGACAAAUAUCAACCCAUUUAAUAAUGAUUAUAAUAUAAUUUUUAAAAUUUGAAUUAAUAUUUAAAAUUUGAAUUUCCUUUCAAAUCAAACAAAUACAGGAUAGAUAAAAAAAACACUUUUACUAUCAACUUUCAAUGGUGGUACAAAAAGAUGCAUUUCUUAUUAUCAAAGUUGAUGAUUGCUUAUGUUUUGAAUACUCCUAGAUCGGAAGAGAACGAAAACGAAUCUGUUGUUGCAACCCAUAAAAGGUAAAAAUGGACAAUGUUGAUUACAUGUGCAUAGACCACAUAUUGAAUGAUUUAUCUUAUGGUUUGUUGAAAACCUCCUAGAACAAGACCACAAUCUAGGAGUUAUGGGACAAAUCUGAGCAAUAUACAUGAUCGAAGAUGCUACAAGUAAGAAAUUUCUUACUAGUCAUUUCAAUAAUUAUCACAUGAUUGAUGGUCGUUCUGUUAUGAAAUAAUUUCGUGAAAUUGAAAAAAUAUUGAAUUCAUUUAUGCAAUAUAACAUGACAAUAUAUGAAGUGGUUGUAUCCUCCAUUGUAGAUAAACUUUCUCCAUCUUGGAAAGACUUUAAAAGAAGUCUAAAACAUAAGAAAGAUGAUAUAUUUCUUGAGGCUUUAACAAAUCAUCUUCAAAUUGAAGAAAAAUAUAGAAAGCAAGAGCAAAACUCAGAACCCAGAUUCUGAAAAUAUCAAAGUACACGUUAUCGAGGAAUGACAGAUUAUUAAACCAUCAAAGAGAAAGUUCAAACAAACUGUUAGAGGGCCUAAUUUCAAGAAGCAAUAAAGAAGAUCGUGUUGCCAUUAUGGUAAGCUGAGACAUUUCAAGAAUGAAUGUCAAUUUUUAAAGAAGAAUAUUUCUUCUAAUGUUAACAAUACAGAGAAGUUUGUUUCCAUGAUUUUUGAAAUUGAUAUAAUAUAAGAUGAUAAUGCAUGGUGGAUUGAUAUUGGAGCAAUCAAACACAUGUCCAAGGAAAAAGGUUUGAUCUCAAAGUUCACAUAAUAUGAAUAUGACAAUGACUUGUACAUGAGAAAUUUUCCAACCACAACAAUCAAAGGCAAAUGAUCGAUUGAACUACGAUUCACUUUUGAAAAUGUUUUAACCUUUAAUAAUGUAUAUUAUGUGUCACAUGCAAAUUUUUAAAAAUAUAUUUUUUAUUAAAUUAUUUUUGAGCGUAAGUGAAAAAAAAUGUCUAGUUGAGUGAGCCAACCUUAUGAAUUAUGAUUUUAUUAAUAUAUAGUUUUGAGAUUUAUCCCUAAUACAUUUAAUGCGAACUAUUAGAAAUUAUUAAUAUGUUGGUUAAAUGUUGACAAAAAGAAUUAUUAAAGUUUGAAACUUCAAACUAUAUUUAGCUAUUUAUCAUUCAACCUAGCAUGUAAUGGUAUUCCACUAGUAAUUAUUAUCUUCUGCUUAGUUUUAGAGGUGGAGUUGACAUGGUAUAUGAAUUUCCUUAGUAGUUUGAGCUAAGAAAUCAUUAAACAAUGCGUGAAUCAUGUUAGAAUUUUAAAUAAUAUCUAAUAUAAAAUUAGAACUGUAAAUUAAGAUCUGUUAUGUCAAAUCAUUAAGAAUAAAUCAAUAACAGAAUUAGAUGCAGAAGCGUACUUGAAUCCAUCAAUUCUUUGAAAUUUUCUGGAUCAUAGGGUUUUGAUCUUCCAAAUAGCACACAAGAAAUUUAGAGAAUAUUUGCUCUCUCUUUCCUAAGGAUGGGAUAUUAAAAACGAUAUCUUGUGUAUAAUUUAAGGACCAUAACCCUAUUAUAUAACUUUGACACAUUAGCCCUAAUUCCUAAUUAGCCCAUCAUUAAUUAGAAAUUGAUUAGAACUGAAUCCAUACUUUAUUUAAUAAUUAAAGCCCAAUAAACCUUAACUAAAUUAGAUCACUUUUAAUUUGGGCUAACCUAUCAUGAUAAUAAAUAAUAACAUGUAAUUACCCUUAUUAUAUAUGUGAUGUCCAUAUUUUCUAACAAAUCAAAUGUGAGUAAUGUUUUUCUCCUUAUACAUGAGAAAACGUAAAAUGACCAAAUGCAACUAAUGUACAAAAUUUCACCAAAUAAAGCAAAAUGCACGAGGUAACUAUAGCAAAGAAUCAUAAAACUGUAACACACGAAUAACAUGUUUUAGAAAAGCAAUACUAUCAGAUUAAUUAAUGCUUAUCGUAAAUGAAAAUACCAAGGAUUUUUAUACACGUCAAUAAGAUUAACUAACGCGGUAAUCACUAUUGUAAAUCGUUUUAAUUGCAUCUUUACAACACUACUGAUCUAACUACUCUAACAAUGAUCCCAUCUAUUUCAAAGUCAAAAUUAAGUUGGAGAUUAUCCAGCUGCCAUCUAGGCAUCUACGACUUUGUUUGCAACUCUGAAUAAAUUAUUUACGGGAAAAGACAUGAAAAAUAAUUAAAACAUUGCAUGCAUGCAUGCAGUUUAGUCUGUAUAGAAAAUGAUCCACGUUCGAAAUAUUUUAACUUCAUUUAAGUUACGUGUAUGAUGGUCUUAAAGACUAUAGGAAUGAGACAAUUUCCAGAAAAUAGGGCCAUGUAGGAGAAGACGUAAUGGCUCACAAUUUUUGACUCUACAUUUUGCUCAUAACUAUCCACACUCACUGUAUCUUUAUCUCUUGUAUUAUACACCAAGUUUUAUCUCGGUAUUGACUUUCGCAUGUUCCAAUUUUUUUUCCAUAGGCAAUGUUCAUUCAAUUGGGGUGCAAAUGAUUUACCUAAGGCCAAGGGGUCAUGACUCUAAACUAAAUGUAUAUGAAUUUCUUUUAACUUGUAAAUAAAUUUAUUUUGUUAUAAUUUUUUAAAAAUUAUUAAAAUAUAUUUUUAUAAUUAAAUUUGCAUUAAGCUGUGUCAAAUUUUAAAACAUAUAUAUAAUGGUGGUUUUAAUCAAGUUAAGGUUUUUUCUUUUUUUCAGACAAUUCAGUGUCCAAUAGUUAUAUAUAAGACUUUACUUAAUGCAUCCUUUCGUCACUAAGUCACUAAAGUAUAUAUACUGUUUUCCUAAUUUUUUUUUCCUAUUUUAAUCCUUUGGAAGUUAAAAUUAAUAAUUAAGAUAUUCAACCAAUUAUGUAUCAUAUUAUGACAUCAUAGUGACAUCAUCUCCAGAAAAUCUUUAAAAGAUCUUUUAAAAAUGAAAAUUAUUAAAAAUUACAAAAAAAAUUGAUAAAAGUAUACAAGUUUUUACUAAAAAUUACUAUUUUUUUAAACUAAAUUAUAAUUUUUAAUAUUUUUUACUAGAGCUUGAAUAUAAGAUCAUUAUCUUUUGAAAGGACAGCACGUAAGAAAAUUGUUUUAUAAUUCAAUCAAUCAAAAUGAUUUUUUAAGUGAUAAAUUUAGAUGAAUUUUUACAAUUUAUUAAAAUAAUGAAAAAUAAUAUUAUUUCAAUUCAAAUAAUAAUGCAAGUAUUCAAAUAUGCCAUCCUUCUCCCCAUGUCCACCAUUAUUAUCGAGUGUUUAAUACAAAAUAAAGACAGCAUUGACACAAUGAUGGAAGGAAGAAGUUUACGCUAGAAACAUCGGGAAAGUCUAAAAGUUAAUGUAAUUUAAAAUAAUAAAAUUUUGAUGUAAAAAGUGUUAAUUUUUAUUAAAAUAAUUUUAAAAUACAAUUUUUAUAAAAAAAUUGAUUGUAUUUUUAAUUAAAUACAACUUUUAUAUCAAAUUUUAAUAUUUUAAAUGUGAUUAGCCAAUCUUUAUUCUAAGAUGCAAUAAAUUUUCCCCCUUUUUUUUAGUUUUAAAACUUUUUACAAUUUCUAUAAAAAAACCCUAGAAGCCAAGAGUUCUAUCCCUAAUAUCCUAGCAAGAACAGUGGCUGCUGCGGCUUGGGAUGAUGGAAAGUGGUGGCAACGACGGGUUUGGGGGCGAUGAGAUCUCCCUGCUGGCAGAGGAAUUAAUUCAAUUAUCGGUUAAAACUUCGACGGUGGAACCAAGUGAGAAACCAACUCUAAUCUGUACUAUUUGGACAGAGAAAUCUUACAAUCCAGAUAGCUUCAAAGCGCAGAUGAGAAGUAUUUGAAAAAUAAAAAAAAGUUUGAAAUUCAAUUGGUAGGGCAAAACCUGUUUAUGAUUGUCUUUGAUUUAGAGGAAGAUUUAGAAACUAUUAUGGAAGGACAGCCAUGGUUGUUUAGGAAAAGUUUAGUCAUCUUUGAUCGACUGACUAAACCAAUGGAAAGAAAUCAGAUCAGAUUAGUUUCAUCCCCGUUUUGGAUCAAGAUUGGGCCAUGUUUACCAGAAUUUGAUAAAAAAGAUCUCUUGCAUGCCAUAGGGGUUACUUUCGGAGGUGUUCUCAGAUCUGAAGUUAAUGGUGAGUUUUGUCGCCUUAGAGUUAAUUUAAAAAUACAGAAACCCUUGCGUAGGGGUAUAUUUGUUUUACGAAGCAAUGGAAGUAGAUACUGGAUCCCUUUCAAAUACGAGAGAUUACCAAAAUUCUGCUUUACCAAAAUUCUGCUUUGGUUGUGGCAUAAUGGGGCAUGAUCUUUAAGAAUGCACAGUAGUGGAACCUGCAGAAAAAGACAGAAUUAGAGAAGACCCACAUUUUUCUUUAGCACUUAAAGUAGAAUUAAAUUUAAUUGGAAAGGAGUGUAUGAAAUUUAAUGCUAUAGGGAAAAAAUUACAAUCACAGAGCUCGUACACAGGAGGAGUCACAGCGAAUCAGAAAACGUGCUUGUUUGAUGGCAAAAAUAGUGGUCAGAUUCCAGUACUGCAAAAAGAGGUGUGGGCGACAAUAACAAGAACAGAGAUAAGGAAGCAGCUGGAAGGAGAACAAGAUAGGAAUAUUUCAGAAAAAGACAAAACCGACGAAGAAUUAUUACAGCCAAUCAAGAAAUCCAGCUGGAGGAGAGUUAAACCGUUAGAACCGAUGGAAUGUCAUGAAGUUGAGAGUAAAUUGCAGAAGAGGAAAUUGGCAGAUGUUGAUUAUGAUGAUUACAUCACAGAAGAAUCACGAGAUAAGGCAACAAAGAGGAAGAUAUGUGAAGGAAAGGAGUUGUUACAUGAGGUGGAAACAAAUAUGUCUGUUGUCAACCUCACCCAGAAUAGAUCGGCGGCUGCCAAAAGGCAAGCCGACCGGACGCAAUGAAAAUCAUUUGCUGGAAUGUCCGUGGAUUGGGGAGCCCACGGGCAAUAAGAAGGUUUUAGUUUUUAUUGAAACAGAAUAAUCCCCAAAUAGUUUUCAUCAUGGAGACUAAAGUUAGUGAAAGGCGAAUGGAGAGUAUUAGACGGAGGUGUGGUUUUCUGAAUGGUUUUGAUGUAGGAGCAGUAGGUUCGCGAGGAGGACUCUGUCUAGCAUGGAAAGAGCAGACCCAGGUUAGUCUUAAAACCUUUUCAAAUAAUCAUAUUGAUGUAUUGAUCAAAGAAGAUGAUGGUGGUACAGAAUGGAGAUUCACAGGGUUUUAUGGGUCACCUUAUAUACAUGAUAAAACUAGUUCAUGGGAUUUAUUAAGAACUCUGAGGCAGGAACAGAACUAUCCUUGGCUAGUUUGUGGAGAUUUUAACUAAAUAAUGUAUUCUUUUGAAAAAAAUAGAGGUCAGGAAAGGGAGGAAAAAAGGAUGGAAGCAUUCCGUGAUGUACUAGAAGAAUGCCAACUUAUUGAUGUAGGAUAUUCAGGAGUAUGGUAUACGUGGGAAAGAGGGAAUCUACCGAGUACAAACAUUAGAGAAAGACUGGGUCGUGGUGUUGCAAAUGGAAAAUGGAUGGAGUCUUCCCAAGUGGCAAUGUUCACCACUUAACGUCUUCACUUUCUGAUCAUUGCCCUCUUUUGAUUAGCACAACAAAUGCGGGUAGGUUAAAAAGAACUCCAAGAUUUAAGUUUGAGGCAUGGUGGACUGCAGAGGAAUCGACUGAAGAGGAGAUUAGGAAAUCAUGUGAGUCAUCAAAUGGAUCUCUAGUUGAAAAAUUCAAAAGUUUACAGAUCAGUCUGACAAGAUGGGCACAAUCAAUAAGGAAGGCCGGGAAAGAGUUGACGAAUAAAUUCACAAAGGAGCUUGAAAUUCUGCUGGAAAAGGACAGAGAUGAUGAUACAAUGGCACAGAUAAUAAAUGCGAGAAUCCAUUUAAAUUUGGAAGUUGAUAAAGAAGAUAUGUACUGAGAACAAAGAGCAAAAGUAAACUGGCUUCAGCUAGGGGACAGGAAUACGACAUUUUUCCACAAAUAUGCUUCAAUACGAAAACGUAUUAAUACGGUUAACAGGCUAGAUACAGAUGAUGGAAGGGAGAUUGUUGAAGAAACAGAAAUAAUUGAGACUGUUGCAAAGUACUUCCAGAAUCUUUUUCUAUCUAAUGGGGUAAGGAAUCUUUCCCACCUCUUAUCAGGUAUCAAGAAUAGCAUCUCUCCAAACAUCAACACAAUUCUACUUGCACGAUAUACGGCAGAAGAGAUCUUCAAUGCAAUAAAAGGUAUGGGACCCACUAAAGCACCAGGUUAUGAUGGCUUUCUAGCACUUUUCUUCCAGAAUUACUAGCAUAUUGUGGGUAAAUAUAUUAAAGAAUUUUGCUUGGGAGUUUUGAAUGAUGGAAAAAGCCUUGGUGAUUUCAACCUUACUGACAUAGUACUUAUCCCGAAGAUUCUCAACCCCACAAAUCUUGUCAACUUCAAGCCUAUCAGCUUAUGCAUAAUUAUUUAUAAAAUAGUAGCCAAAGUUAUUGCUUAUCGUCUUCAGGAAUUCAUUGGUGGAUGUAUUGACAAUGCUCAAAGUGCGUUUAUUCCUGGGAGGUUAAUUUCUGACAAUAUUUUGGUUGCCUAUGAAAUUAUGCAUACACUUCGACAAAAAAGAACAGGGAAAAAAAGAUUCAUGGCAGUGAAACUCGACAUGAGCAAAGCAUAUGACAGAGUUGAGUGGACAUUCCUGAAAGAAGUAAUGCGUCGAAUGGGCUUUGUAGAGGAAUGGAUAUCACUAAUUAUGAGAUGCAUUUCUACAGUCUCUUAUGUGGUAAACAUCAAUGGAAGGAGGAGUAAUGUUUUCAAACCUACUAGAGGACUCCGUCAAGGGGACCCACUUAGUCCUUUUCUUUUUCUAAUCUGUAGUGAGGGACUUUCGUCCUUACUCAGGAUAGCAACAGCAGAAGGUUUGAAAAAAGGAGUUAAGGCUAGUAGAAGGGGUCCGGCGAUCUCACAUUUAUUAUUUGCGGACGAUUGUAUCUUGUUCAGUGAAGCUUCAAAAAAUAAAAUAAUGAUUUUGAAAGACAUCUUGAAGGAAUACGAGAGGUGUCCAGGCCAAUGUGUGAAUUUUAACAAGUCCACGGUUUUUUCAGUUCCAAUAUGGUGGAAGGGGACAAAGCAGCUAUUUCAACUGAAAUGGGAAUAAGGCGUUCAACAAAUAUGGAGAAAUAUUUAGGAUUGCCUAAUAUGGUAGGAAGGAGAAAGAAGGAAUCCUUUCAGAACCUUAAGGAUAGGAUUAAAUUGAAGAUUGAGAAUUGGAGUACAAGGUUUCUAUCACAAGGGGAAAAAGAGGUUUUUAUAAAAUCUGUUCUUCAGGCUAUACCAACUUAUGCUAUGGCAUGCUUUCUUCCACCAAAAUCAUUAUGCGAGGAGUUCGAAAAUAUUUUCGCUAGAUACUGGUGGCAAAAAAGUCAGAAAUCGAAAGGGAUUCAUUGGUGCAAAUGGAAAGCUAUGUGCAGCUCUAAAGAGGAGGGCGGAAUGGGAUAUAGAGAUAUGGCUCAGUUUAAUAUUUCUUUACUUGCUAAGCAGGGUUGGAGAAUUAUCAAUAAUCAGGAUGCUCUUGUUACGCAAUUUUUUAAAGUGAAAUAUUUUCCAAAUGAUCAUUUUUUAAAUUCUCGUUAGGGAAAUUCCGGCUCUUAUGUAUGGAAAAGUAUUUAGGCAGCGAAGGCUUUACUGGCAAAGGGGUUAUACUGGAGAGUUGGUACGGGUUCUAAUAUACUCAUUAAUGAUGAUGAUUGGGUUCCGGAGGCAGUAAAUUUCAGAUUAUCAACAGUGAAUAAUUCAAUGCGUAAUCUCAAAGUUAAUGAGUUAAUCGAUAACAAUACCAGGCUUUGGAAGAAGGAGUUGAUAAAUAAUACCUUCACAGAAGAAGAUGCUGCAAGAAUUCUUCGAAUCCCUCUGGCACGAACGCCUCACGAGGAUUUCCUCAUCUUGGGAGGUGAGUUGACGGGUGAAUUCACGGUCCGAAGUGCUUAUAAACUAUUACAGAGUUCGAAUGAAGACCCUAGCGCUUAUACGUUACAACUUAUCUAUAGGAAAUUCUACAAAAAACUUUGGAGCCUAAAUCUACCAGCUAAAANNNNNNNNNNNNNNNNNNNNNNNNNNNNNNNNNNNNNNNNNNNNNNNNNNNNNNNNNNNNNNNNNNNNNNNNNNNNNNNNNNNNNNNNNNNNNNNNNNNNNNNNNNNNNNNNNNNNNNNNNNNNNNNNNNNNNNNNNNNNNNNNNNNNNNNNNNNNNNNNNNNNNNNNNNNNNNNNNNNNNNNNNNNNNNNNNNNNNNNNNNNNNNNNNNNNNNNNNNNNNNNNNNNNNNNNNNNNNNNNNNNNNNNNNNNCCUGGGUAUUUGAACAACUCAAUCCUUGUCAAAGUCGUUUAUUCUGCUGCGAUCUAUGGGCCAUAUGGGGAGAUCGAAACAGAAGAAUACACGAAGGAAAAGUUAGCAACGGCAAAGAAACUGCAAAUUUCAUCAACAAUUACAUUACUGAGUUAACUCACUUUGAAAGAAGGAAAUCGAAAAAAAUCACAGGAAAGCAAAGAUGGCAGCAUCCACAUCGUGAGUUUAUAACAAUAAAUUUUGAUGGAGCAUAUCAUGAAAGUCAGUAUUGCUCAGCCAUAGGUAUUGUGGCCAGUGAUGCCGAAGGAAGUGUUUUGUUAUCCUAUUCAGAGUUACAGAAAGACAUUACCUCUGCAUUUGCCGCUGAAGCAAUAGCUUGUUGGAGAGCAGUCUAAAUCAGAGUCGAUCGGGGAUGGCAAUCAAUCAUUUUUUAGGGAGAUUCCCUCGCAAUAAUUAAAAAAUGCAAUACCACAGGUCAAGAUCGAUCAAUGAUAGGGGUUUAUAUUCAUGAUAUCCAACAGGAAAUCAGUAAGUUUAAUAAAGUCAGAUUUCAGCACACACCAAGAUCUGCAAAUAAUCUCGCACACAUUCUUGCAACGAAAACCCUAAAGAGGAAAGAGGAGAUUUACCUUGAAAUGGAGGUCCCUGAGUAUGCAAAGAAGCAGAGAAGAUAUGACUGGUUGCGUGAACCAGACUAGAAAAUGACAGAAGAUGAGGGAAGAAAGGAAGAAAUGCUUCAAAACUAAAGAAAGUGAAACGGUUCAAAAGAAGCUUUGCCAGAGAAAUCGUCGAAAUGGAAAUGAAAUGAUGGGAAGACGAAAUGACAGAUUUCAGCAAAUUUUGAUUGGGCAUUUAGUCGGUGCUUUUAUUAUAGGUUCCAGAACUCUCUUUUUUCAUAUCUCUCUUUUUAAUAUCUUGAUUUUUUCAACUUUGGCCAUCUGUUUUGGGCCGGGUUUUUCUAGGAUAAUAGGUUUAUAAGUUUUGUCAUACUGUUUUCUAUUAAUAAAGCCCAUUCUUAAUUUUUUUCAAAAAAAAAACUUUUUACAAUUCCUAAUAACUUUUAUAAAUUUUUAGAGCUUUUAUAUUUUCUUUUACAAUUUUAAAAUAUUCUAACAUAUUUUUAAAAAUAUUAAGAACAUGUAACGUUAGGGAUUGAACUGGAAAUGUCUAAUAACAUUAGAGAUUGAGAUGAGUCAAAAAAAACCUUUAACUAUCAAUUGGAAAAAAGGUACGUACGGUAGGAGUUAAGGUAUGCAUUAAGCCAUUACACUUUAAUUAAAUUUGAAGUUGAAUCAAGUCAAAUAUUUGAAUGAGAGAUAAAACUCUCUCAAUGUUGUUUUCUUCUUUUACAAAACUUGAAUCCAAAAUCUAAAAUAAAAUACGUUAAACUUUUUUAACUACAAUUGUUUUUAUAUUUUUUAUGUCCAUUUUAAUUCAAUGUCGUAUCUAAAAUUUAAAUUUGCAUCUCUUCCUAAAAGUAUAAUAUACCUUAGACCGUACCCAACACAUAUUAUAAAUUCAUUUUUUAACUACUUAAUUACAGGGGAGGAGGGACUUGACAUCAUUGGGAUAAUCAUGGGUCGUUAGUAAUGUUUUCCUUUGCUGAAUUUAUGUAGAUUUGGAAGCUCUUAAAAUGGGCAAAUUAGAGUUGUAGUGGCAUAUGAUUUUUCCCUUAAUUAAUUUUCAUAUACACUGCCAAAAACUAGGUAGGCAGUGGCAUAAUCUCUUGCAACUCCGUCAUCUCGUUUCCAUGUUGAUUUGAUCUUUCCGUUUCCGUCCAUGUGGGAAAUGAAAAAGUCGUUUUGCAUGUCACUUGUCUCGACACCUUUCCAUACCAAAUGGCUGUUUUCAAACUUUAACUCACCUCCUUAGAAAACUGGUUGUUAAGAAAUGGAUGAAAACCAAAAACAUUACAUAAAGGAAGGGGAGAACUGAAGAACACAUAUACAUAGAACCAAAAACAAAAAGAUCACAUGGGUUCUGAAAAGCAAGGGUUUAUAUGGUUAUCAGGGCUUUUGUUUCUGAAUAUCUUUGUCUUAUCCACAGCCGAUGUCCACUAUUACGAGUUUUCUGUAAGUUCCUUGCAUGUUCCCCCUUUUCUGUUUGUGUUAAUAAGAGAGAGCAGUGCUGAAUUUUCAUUUUGGGUUUUGUUUAAAUUAGUUGCAAGAAUCCCCGUUCACAAAGCUGUGUAGCACGAAGAUCAUCUUGACCCUCAAUGGCAGCUUUCCAGGGCCUGAGAUUCGGGUUCGCAGAGGGGACACAGUUUUUGUCAACGUCCACAAUCAAGGAAACCAUGCUGUAUCCCUCAAGUGGUAAUAUAUACAUACAUGUAUAUGCUUACACACCUUGUUUAUGAUGAAACAAUUAGUCAUAUAUAUAUAGCUAUGUUUGUGGGUUUUUAGGGAGGGAGUUAAGGGUUCAAUUGAUGGUUCGAAUGAGUUGAUUCAGCCAGGGAGAAACUUCACUUACAAGAUAGAGUUAAAGGAUGAAAUAGGAACUCUGAGGUGGCACGCUACCAGUGCUUGGGCUGCUGCAACCGUCCAUGGUGCCUUUGUCAUUUUGCCAGUAGCCACUGAAGACUAUCCUUUCCCUGCACCUACUUCUGAUCAAACAAUUAUACUUGGUACAUCUGAUUAACAUGUUUGAUUCAUAUAUUUUGCAAAUUAAUUGCUUAUAUGAAUGUUUUGGCAUAAUAUUCCGUUAGGGGAAUGGUUCAGGGAAGAGUUAACGGAAGCUAAUCAAACCAUAACUCCUGGCUCAGCAGAUGCUUACACUAUCAAUGGCCACCCCGGAGAAACAUAUGGAUGCAGCAACGGUACGUAUCCGCUAUUGUUUAGACUUUUUCUUUUCCUGGUAUCUGAUAUCUGGUAAUGACUUAGGCCUCACUGUUUCCAAGUUAAGUCAGGUCGGAUAUUCAUAAGACUAAAAUCCGAGAUGUUGGACCCGUCAAAUCUUGUUUUUUUUUUUUUUAUAACUCUAUUUUAUACUUUUAAUACGUAAGUUUGCAUCACAUGAAUUAAGCAUCCUCUUCCCUAGGCCAUACAGCAUGAAAUGAAAGCUGAUAAUAGAUUAAUUUUUAUGCAGAAACCUUUACUAUGAAUGCUAAUAAUCCAACAAUUUUGAUGUUGUAGAUACAACUUUUGAGAUGCAAGUAGAUUACGAGGGCCUUUACCUUGUUGGCGUAAUAAAUGCUGUUGCCAAUGAAACAAUGGUGUUUGACAUCGAAAACCACAGAUUGACCAUUGUCGGACAAAAUGGGACCUAUACCAAUCGUUCCUUUACAAAUUCUUUAACCCUAGCCCCAGGCCAAGUUAUUGACGUCUUGUUGCUUCCAAACCAAAAUGUUGGCCAUUAUUACAUCACUGCUCGAUCUUCCUCCGGCACACAUAUUACCAAUGGAAUUCUGCGAUAUACCACCACUACCACUAGUUUUUAAUAUGGGUAAAUAGUUUCCGUUGCUAAGAAAUAAUAAUAAGGUUAAUGUUGAAAUAAGAGAUUAAAUAUAAUGUGUGUAUGUUGGUUUAUAAUUUGUUGUGAUCGUUGUUUGAACGAUGUGUUUUGAAUGUUGUAAUGGGAAGAUGUUCUUUAACUAAAAUGUACAAUAUUUAUUCAUUAUUGUAAGACCCGAUCAGAGAUUCAACCAAUUGGAUCUUUGGUUCCAAUUCAAUCACUUCAAAAAGUAAAUUAAAAAUAUUUACAAUUGCAAAAGAAUAAUUUAAAAUUUUUAAGAAUUAUGGAAUAAUAUUUUUCUUUAAAAAACCAAACAUAAAAUUGAAAAAAAAAAUCAAUUAUUGUUAAAAAGAAUAAAAAAAAUUCUACAUUUUGAUUUAUUUGAAAUAGAUAUAUUUUUUUAAUUAUAUUUCGAUUGAAUAGUUUUCAAUUCAAUCACUUCUUAUAACAUCGUAUUUAUUUAAGGCUAAAAUUAAGUGACUGUAAAUAGGGUUAGAAGUUGAAUAUUGCAUAAAUUUCAUACCAACAACAAAUAAUAUUGAAAAAGUUUAAAUGAUUUCAUUUUUAGUAACGUGAUAUUAAUAUAUGCAAUAAUAAUAAAUUAUAUUAAAACCUUUUAUCAUCAGCAUAAUAAAAUGCUUAUUUCAAGUUUCCAAACAUGAGAAAGAAAGAGACUGAAGCAUUCGGGGAAAAAAAUAGAAGCAUCGAAAUUAGGAUUGUGGACAAUGGGGCAUCUAAUCAGGCAGUGACGACUGUACAAUAAGAAUUGGGUUUGAUUUAGUUUCUAUAUUUAUAAAUUUAUAAAUGGAUUAGUUUUAUGUUUGUAUUAUGUUAAAAAGAAGUUUAAUCUUUGUAUUAAUAAAAAGAUUCAUACAAAGUUAAUAUUAUUUUGUAAAGGUGUACUUAUUUUUUUUUUACCUUCCAAAUUAAUAAAAAAAAUUUAUUAAAGUAAUCUUAGUCAUUCAUUUAAUUUUUCGUUUCAUUUAGCCUUUGAACUUGUAAUUUUGUCAAAUCAACUCAAAUUUGAUGGAAAAGUUAAUAUUUUUUAACUUUACUGAUAUGACCUAUGUUAAACUGAACGUCGAUAAUUGCAAUAUAGAAUGAUCGCAAAGCAAUAAGAAAGAAAAUUAAAACACAUAGAUUUUACCUAAAAAAACCACGGGUAGAGGAGAAGAAAAUUCACUAAUGUUGAAAAUAGAAUGAUACAAGAGGAGUUACGAUUACAUUGACCCUGACAACAAGAUGGGAGUGCGAUGUGCAGCAAGCUGGAGAGGGAGGCAAAGGGUUCUUAACUUUCCCAACAAGAUCUAGGAAGACAAUGUGGCACUCCUAGGUUGUUUUCUAGUCGGCUUUCAUGUAUCUCUCACUCGUGGGAGUACGAAAUUUUGUCUUCAUGCAAAAGGUGCCCACCACCAUCUUCAUUAUCCUCAUGAUUGGCCUCCUGAAAAUGGCCCUGUAAGUUAUCGGGAGGUCAACCGCUAGAAAAUCCACCAUUUCUAUGGUGGUGUGCUCACCAUUUCCCAUUACCAAUGGGAGGAAAAAUGGACCCCUUAACCGCAAUGGGCUGGUUGGCAAAACUGUACACCGGGCUUGCAAGUUUGAGUUGGGCAUCCUUGAGCCUCAUUUGAUGAAAAGCCUUGGUCAUCAGAAUAUCCACAGAGCAACCUGUGGUCACCCCACAAGCUUAGUACUAUUGAAGGGUCACCCUUCCUCUUCAUGGUCCCUAGAGGUAUUUAUAAGCAGAGGUUCCGUGCAGGGUUGUGUUAACAUGUUAGACUUUCCAUCUAGCCAUCAUUAGGGAGCUCGUGGGAGGGAUGUCUUCAAUGAGACAAGGAUGUCUAUGACAAGAAAGAUCUUGUCAUUCAUUCUAAAGUUAACGGGAUAAAGUAAUUGAGCCCACGUGCUAUUUGGUAACCAAACAACUUCAUGUUUCCAAUGAAGAUAAAAUCAUUCGUUGUUCAGAUAGUCCUCCAAGGAGGGUGAGCUCACAGAUGACCGCUUGACUUGUUGGUGGUAGGCUUACAUGUAUAAGCAUCUUCUAAGCUUGUCACAUGUAUUGUCACGGAUGAGGGGUAUAACAAUCGUGAUAUUAGUAUUGGAAAAAAUACUGUUCAAAAAUAAUUUUCUUGCACAGCGAAAAAUACAAAUUUUGAAAAAAAAGACCAAGUUUGUGAUAUUUAUAACAAUAAACCCAAAAAUCCGUACCUAUGUUUUCGGAUGGGCGGAUCCUUUUUUAUUCUCAGCUUUCAACCAAACGAUCUUCUCAGUUAUUCUUGUAUCACGAACUGCUUCGAGUGUGGGCUCGAACAAAUGGUAUGAACAUAAAAAUACUAAAAACCAUAUUUAACAGUGCACAAAGACGAGAGAACCAGAGAGGGGGAAUGGCUCUAGAGGAAGAUCUCAAAACAAACAAAUCAAACUAUGAACAUGAAAACCUAAACCCAAACGAUAAUGGAAGAUUACGGUCCUAGAAAGAAAAUGAAAAGUUUGGUUUUGAUUACCGAAUGGAAACAAAUGGUUUUAGUUACGAUUUGGGUUGGUUUCUUUUUGGUAAAAAAAAAACUAUUAAUUACGAUAAUAAAUUUAAUUAAAAAUCAUUAUAAAUUACUCUUCCUUAUAACAGACCCAAAACCCAACCAGCCCUAAACCCCCAAAUCAGACCCAAUCAAACUCAAUUUGCCCUUUUUUAAUUAAGUCAUAUAAUAGAAAUUAAAUUUUAUCCAUUAAUUCAAUUACUUACAUAAAUAAACCUGGAUCAUUAUAAAUUACUCUUCCUUUAUAAAUUACACAAAAAUUAAAAUGAAAGUAUAGCAACUGUAUGCAGCAGCAGUAAUUCCAGAGGCUGAUAACAGAAAUUCAGAAGGAAAAAAACACAUAAAUACAACAGGAGGAAAAGGCACCAAGAAUACAAAUUGGUAGCUGAAACUUUAAAUUGAUUUUACAUUAUCAAUCUUCCAAUAACCUCGGGUCUUUACAUUCUCACUCGACCAUACAAAAUUAUGAACAUAAGAUGAAUGCUAGUUGAAACUAUCCCCACAAAUUUGCUAAAAAUUGCAUUAUAAUGGGGUUGGGUAUAUAUAUAUACACAGCAUUUUUCAACUGGCUAUAAAAAAUGAGGGCUAAUUCAAAUAAAAAAUGUGAAACAAGGAAUACGAGAACUAGGCAGAAAUACCAUUUAGGGACUUGGGUUGAGACCAGGCAUCAUUUGGAGUGCCACACAGUUGGCAAGGGUCAGAGGAUCCCUGUGAACACCAGUGAUCAGGGACACUCAAAAAGUAAGUUGACAUGAACUUUCUGAGUCUUUUCUUAUAUUCCUUGGGAGAAAUCACAGUUGGCAACAAAUUCUUAGGAACAACCAAUGAAGACUUAACCCAUGUCUCCAG
Molecule: long non-coding RNA, 24527 nt
Filed under: Gossypium raimondii (Peruvian cotton)
Lineage: Eukaryota; Viridiplantae; Streptophyta; Magnoliopsida; Malvales; Malvaceae
Description: long non-coding RNA (GRAI_LNC007134)
Source: RNAcentral